CCUACGGGAGGCAGCAGUAGGGAAUAUUGCUCAAUGGGGGAAACCCUGAAGCAGCAACGCCGCGUGGAGGAUGAAGGUUUUCGGAUUGUAAACUCCUUUUGUUAGAGAAGAUAAUGACGGUAUCUAACGAAUAAGCACCGGCUAACUCCGUGCCAGCAGCCGCGGUAAUACGGAGGGUGCAAGCGGUACUCGGAAUCACUGGGCGUAAAGAGCGCGUAGGCGGGAUAGCAAGUCAGAUGUGAAAUCCUAGGGCUUAACCAUAGAACUGCAUUUGAAACUGUUAUUCUAGAGUAUGGGAGAGGUAGGUGGAAUUCUUGGUGUAGGGGUAAAAUCCGUAGAGAUCAAGAGGAAUACUCAUUGCGAAGGCGACCUGCUAGAACAUAACUGACGCUGAUGCGCGAAAGCGUGGGGAGCAAACAGGAUUAGAUACCCGUGUAGUC
RNAcentral lists this ribosomal RNA (440 nucleotides) under uncultured bacterium. RNAcentral's name for it is "partial 16S ribosomal RNA". It matches the Rfam family "Bacterial small subunit ribosomal RNA", at positions 338 to 795 of the family's 1533-position model. The record is from RNAcentral.